This 975-nucleotide ribosomal RNA is filed under the name Lancefieldella rimae. RNAcentral describes it as "bacterial SSU rRNA". It matches the Rfam family "Bacterial small subunit ribosomal RNA", at positions 28 to 1013 of the family's 1533-position model. Lineage: Bacteria; Bacillati; Actinomycetota; Coriobacteriia; Coriobacteriales; Atopobiaceae. The record is from RNAcentral.
GAUGAACGCUGGCGGCGCGCCUAACACAUGCAAGUCGAACGGUUAAAGCACCUUUUAGGUGUGUAUAAAGUGGCGAACGGCUGAGUAACACGUGGGCAACCUGCCCUCCUCUUGGGGAUAGCCCCGGGAAACCGAGGAUAAUACCCGAUACUUCAAUGUGGCCGCAUGACGACAUUGAGAAAGCUUUUGCGGAGAAGGAUGGGCCCGCGGCCUGUUAGCUUGUUGGUGGGGUAGAGGCCUACCAAGGCAAUGAUGGGUAGCUGGGUUGAGAGACCGACCAGCCAGAUUGGGACUGAGACACGGCCCAGACUCUUACGGGAGGCAGCAGUGGGGAAUACUAUGCACAAUGGGCGAAAGCCGUGAUGCAGCGACGCCGCGUGCGGGACGAAGGCCUUCGGGUUGUAAACCGCUUUCAGCAGGGACGAGGCGAAAGUGACGGUACCUGCAGAAGAAGCCCCGGCUAACUACGUGCCAGCAGCCGCGGUAAUACGUAGGGGGCAAGCGUUAUCCGGAUUCAUUGGGCGUAAAGCGCUCGUAGGCGGUCUGUUAGGUCGGGAGUUAAAUCCGGAGGCUCAACCUCCGCCCGCUCCCGAUACCGGCAGACUUGAGUUUGGUAGGGGAAGGUGGAAUUCCUAGUGUAGCGGUGGAAUGCGCAGAUAUUAGGAAGAACACCAGUGGCGAAGGCGGCCUUCUGGGCCAUAACUGACGCUGAGGAGCGAAAGCUAGGGGAGCAAACAGGAUUAGAUACCCUGGUAGUCCUAGCUGUAAACGAUGGACACUAGGUGUGGGAGAAUACGUCUUCCGUGCCGCAGCUAACGCAUUAAGUGUCCCGCCUGGGGAGUACGGCCGCAAGGCUAAAACUCAAAGGAAUUGACGGGGACCCGCACAAGCAGCGGAGCAUGUGGUUUAAUUCGAAGCAACGCGGAAGAACCUUACCAGGGCUUGACAUGUAGGUGAAGCGGCGGAAACGUCGUG